This 440-nucleotide ribosomal RNA is filed under the name uncultured bacterium. RNAcentral describes it as "partial 16S ribosomal RNA". It matches the Rfam family "Bacterial small subunit ribosomal RNA", at positions 338 to 795 of the family's 1533-position model. The record is from RNAcentral.
CCUACGGGGGGCAGCAGUGGGGGAUAUUGCAAAAUGGGGGAAACCCUGAUGCAGCGACGCCGCGUGGGUGAAGAAGCGCCUCGGCGCGUAAAGCCCUGUCAGCAGGGAAGAAAAUGACGGUACCUGAAGAAGAAGCCCCGGCUAACUACGUGCCAGCAGCCGCGGUAAUACGUAGGGGGCAAGCGUUAUCCGGAUUUACUGGGUGUAAAGGGGGCGCAGACGGCGAUGCAAGCCAGGAGUGAAAGUCCGGGGCCCAACCCCGAGACUGCUCUUGGAACUGCGUGGCUAGAGUGCAGGAGGGGUAGGCGGAAUUCCUGGUGUAGCGGUGAAAUGCGUAGAUAUCAGGAGGAACACCGGUGGCGAAGGCGGCCUGCUGGACUGCAACUGACGUUGAGGCCCGAAAGCGUGGGGAGCAAACAGGAUUAGAUACCCCUGUAGUC